Molecule: unclassified non-coding RNA, 208 nt
Filed under: uncultured Sporidiobolales
Lineage: Eukaryota; Fungi; Basidiomycota; Microbotryomycetes; Sporidiobolales
Description: sequence contains ITS2
Source: RNAcentral
AAUUCUCAACCCCCCUAUUUUGUAAUGAGAUAGGUUGUGGGCUUGGAUUAUGGCUGCCUGUCGGUUCGUCACGAGUCGGCUCAGCUGAAAUACACGUGCAUCCCAGUUGAAACAGCGACGGCUUGACUCGGCGUAAUAACAUAUUUCGCUGAGGACGUCCACUGUACGUUUCAAGCAGUGGGGCUUCUAAUGCACAUCCAUCUUAAGC